Molecule: ribosomal RNA, 424 nt
Filed under: uncultured bacterium
Lineage: Bacteria
Description: bacterial SSU rRNA
Rfam family: Bacterial small subunit ribosomal RNA
Source: RNAcentral
UGGGGAAUCUUGCGCAAUGGGCGAAAGCCUGACGCAGCAACGCCGCGUGAGCGAAGAAGGCCUUCGGGUUGUAAAGCUCUGUCAGGGGGAAAGAAGGCACCUGGGUUAAUAGCCCAAGGGCUGACGGUACCCCCAGAGGAAGCCACAGCUAACUACGUGCCAGCAGCCGCGGUAAUACGUAGGUGGCGAGCGUUGUCCGGAAUCAUUGGGCGUAAAGAGCGCGUAGGUGGCUUGUCAGGUCCGAUGUGAAAACCUGGGGCUCAACCCGAGGCCUGCAUAGGAAACCGGCUUGGUAGAGUGUGGGAGAGGAGAGUGGAAUUCCUGGUGUAGGGGUGAGAGGCGGAGAUAGCAGGAGGAACAACGGUAGCGAAGGCGGGUCUCUGGAACAGUACUGACGCUGAGGCGCGAAAGCUAGGGGAGCGAA